UACGAGAGAAGCAAAUGUUAUCCGAAAUUAUUGGGCGUAAAGCGUUUGUAGGCGGUCGAUUGUGUUUAAUGUUAAAUCUUAAAGCUCAACUUUGAAAUUGCUUUAAGAACUGCUUGUCUUGAGUAUGGUAGGGGUAAAGGGAAUUCCCAGUGUAGCAGUGAAAUGCGUAGAAAUUGGGAAGAACACUAAACAGCGAAGGCACUUUACUAGGCUAAUACUGACGCUGAGAAACGAAAGGUAAGGUAGCGAAACGGAUUAGAUAGCCGUGUAGUCUUUCCCGUAAAUUAUGGACACUAAACGGUAAAUUUUUAAUUUACUGUUAAAGCUAACGCGUUAAGUGUCCCGCCUGGGGAGUAUGCUGGCAAAAGUGAAACUCAAAGGAAUUGACGGGGGCCCGCACAACCGGUGGAGCAUGUGGUUUAAUUCGACGGUACACGAAGCACCUUCCCAGGAUUUGACAUGCUAGAUAGUUGCUUGAAAGAGUAACGUGCCGUAAGGAAUCUAGACACAGGUGGUGCAUGUCUGUCGUCAGUUCCUGUUGUGAAAUGUUGGGUUAAGUCCCGCAACGAACGCAACCCUGGUCUUUAGUUCUUUUCUAAAGAGACUGCCUGUAAUAAACAGGAGGAAGGUAAGGAUGAGGUCAAGUCAUCAUGCCCCUUAUGUCCUGGGCUACACACGUGCUACAAUGGGAAAGACAAUGAGCUGCAAAUCAGUAAAUUUAAGCAAAUUUUUUAAACUUUCUCGUAGUUCGGAUUGUGGGCUGCAACUCGCCCACAUGAAGUUGGAAUCGCUAGUAAUCGCCAGUCAGCUAUAUGGCGGUGAAUCCGUUCCCGGGCCU
Molecule: ribosomal RNA, 838 nt
Filed under: uncultured bacterium
Lineage: Bacteria
Description: bacterial SSU rRNA
Rfam family: Bacterial small subunit ribosomal RNA
Source: RNAcentral